GCCAGACUCCUACGGGAGGCAGCAGUGGGGAAUAUUGCACAAUGGGGGAAACCCUGAUGCAGCGACGCCGCGUGAGUGAAGAAGUAUUUCGGUAUGUAAAGCUCUCUCAGCAGGAAAGAAAAUGACGGUACCUGACUAAGAAGCCCCGGCUAACUACGUGCCAGCAGCCGCGGUAAUACGUAGGGGGCAAGCGUUAUCCGGAAUUACUGGGUGUAAAGGGAGCGCAGACGGCAGUGCAAGUCUGGAGUGAAAGCCCGUGGCUUAACCACGGGACUGCUCUGGAAACUGUGUAGCUAGAGUGCAGGAGAGGUAAGUGGAAUUCCUAGUGUAGCGGUGAAAUGCGUAGAUAUUAGGAGGAACACCGGUGGCGAAGGCGGCUUACUGGACUGUAACUGACGUUGAGGCUCGAAAGCGUGGGGAGCAAACAGGAUUAGAUACCCGAUAGU
RNAcentral lists this ribosomal RNA (446 nucleotides) under uncultured bacterium. RNAcentral describes it as "partial 16S ribosomal RNA". It matches the Rfam family "Bacterial small subunit ribosomal RNA", at positions 330 to 794 of the family's 1533-position model. The record is from RNAcentral.